CCGUUUAUAAAUUGCAAGAGAUAGUGACUGCAACAAACAUAAUUCUCUCAAAAGAUGGAUUAUACACAAAAAGGGAUAUACAAACUUACAAAGAGAAGAAUCCGUAACUUCGAGAAACAGAUUCCAAAACUCGAUAUGGUGGUCAAAGACCAAAACUAAUAAGUCAUAAGGUUACAGAAACAUCAUCUGUUGUAAGUGUCCCAAUCAAAGUUGGGUUGAGAAUAAGCUUCGUAAUCAACUGGCCCGUCGACGAUGCUAUCGACGGUCUGAAUAUUCCUGAGAAGAGCCGGGUGAUACCGUUCUGUAUCCGAAGGCAAAAGCUUGUACAUCACAAGCAACCCAAGCGUGAAAAUCGCUUGAAGCUUCGUGGAAUCUCCUUUGACAGAGAAGAAAAACAGCAUGGAGACGAUGUACAGGUCGAUGCAGAACCGCAUGAUGCACAAAACCGUGUCCAUCAGCUUCCCUUCGUUCCCUGCAGGGAAGCCGCGGACUCUGUACACGUAUAGGAAGUUGUAUUUGUCGACAAUGUAUCUGUAACCAAAGUAAACCGCGCCUACAGGGACCACGAGUGGAGCGAAUGAAGAGUAUAUCAUUGUCAAGGCAAAGAUGGUGAGGUUGAAGGCAUAGUAUUGUGCAAAGUCGAACUUUUGCUUUGGGAUUGGUGAGGUUCGGCUGAUUGGGUACUCAGCAAGGUCUUGGCUCAUAGGUUCAACGUCGCCGAAUCUUGGAGACUCGAACAUGUUUUCAGGGAGAAGCGGCGUCUCAAGGUUGCUUUGAUUUUCCAAAGGGUACUCUUCGUUUUGCUCGGGGACUAGCUGAAGCAUAUCGUUCUUCCUGAACUUCUGGAUUUUUUUCUUGAUCCAAGGGAUUGGAGCGAGUAGAUCAAAGGAGAUUCCCAAGAACGUGCUUGUGAUGAGGAACGCUAGAGCGGAAACGCAUGACCUUGAUAAGAAGGAAGGGCUCACGUAUUCUUCAAUCCUCUUGCAAUCCUCGCCGUCUAAGUAGCAGCGGCUCAUUUUCAAGAACGCGCUUUCAAGCGACGACUCGACGAGAGCCUUUAGCACGAUGAGGUUCACGAGGAAGAAGCAAACCAUCACAAGAUGUAAAGUGAAGAGAUACUAACUGCUACUAAACCGAAUGUGACACUCUGGAUUCUUAUAUUCGGUUGUUAAGUGCAUAACAUCUCCAUAAGAAAGACACCAUGUAGAGGCAAUUGCUAAUUUUUGUUUCUUCUGACCUCUUAAGAGUCUUAAUCACAUUUAAACAGAAAAAAAAAAUCCCGUUUAUAAAUUGCAAGAGAUAGUGACUGCAACAAACAUAAUUCUCUCAAAAGAUGGAUUAUACACAAAAAGGGAUAUACAAACUUACAAAGAGAAGAAUCCGUAACUUCGAGAAACAGAUUCCAAAACUCGAUAUGGUGGUCAAAGACCAAAACUAAUAAGUCAUAAGGUUACAGAAACAUCAUCUGUUGUAAGUGUCCCAAUCAAAGUUGGGUUGAGAAUAAGCUUCGUAAUCAACUGGCCCGUCGACGAUGCUAUCGACGGUCUGAAUAUUCCUGAGAAGAGCCGGG
This 1570-nucleotide long non-coding RNA is filed under the name Brassica napus (rape). RNAcentral describes it as "long non-coding RNA (BNAP_LNC007000)". Lineage: Eukaryota; Viridiplantae; Streptophyta; Magnoliopsida; Brassicales; Brassicaceae. The record is from RNAcentral.